This 440-nucleotide ribosomal RNA is filed under the name uncultured bacterium. RNAcentral describes it as "partial 16S ribosomal RNA". It matches the Rfam family "Bacterial small subunit ribosomal RNA", at positions 338 to 795 of the family's 1533-position model. The record is from RNAcentral.
CCUACGGGAGGCAGCAGUGGGGAAUAUUGCACAAUGGGGGGAACCCUGAUGCAGCGACGCCGCGUGAGUGAAGAAGUAUUUCGGUAUGUAAAGCUCUAUCAGCAGGGAAGAAAAUGACGGUACCUGACUAAGAAGCCCCGGCUAACUACGUGCCAGCAGCCGCGGUAAUACGUAGGGGGCAAGCGUUAUCCGGAUUUACUGGGUGUAAAGGGAGCGCAGACGGCUGUGCAAGUCUGGAGUGAAAGGUGGGGGCCCAACCCCCGGACUGCUCUGGAAACUGUAAAGCUGGAGUGCAGGAGAGGUAAGCGGAAUUCCUAGUGUAGCGGUGAAAUGCGUAGAUAUUAGGAGGAACACCAGUGGCGAAGGCGGCUUACUGGACUGCAACUGACGUUGAGGCUCGAAAGCGUGGGGAGCAAACAGGAUUAGAUACCCGAGUAGUC